AUUUUUUAUGGAAAGUGUUAAAGUUGAUAUCUGAAGUAAAUAUGAGAUAACGACCUUCACACUUUAACCGGACGCUGUAUUAGAUGCUUUAAUAUACCUAACUAAACAUGCUUUUUCUAAAGUCCGACCAAGAUAUCCACUUUGAGACUUUUCAAGACAUUGUAAUAACAGAUUAAGCAGCCUGAUGCUCUAGAGGUGUGAUAUGAUCUAUAAUGUCUGGUAUUAAUCUUUCUGAACUGUCUCCAUGUGGUUGACAAUAAGUGUACAUAAAAUUCUUUGAGUAAACAAGAAAUUUGUAGUUCUAAGAUCUAAGGUGCUAAUAAUAAAUAUACACCUGUGACAGAAACAGAGAGCUGAUUUCAUCUGAAUAUUUCUUUUUCAAAAACAACUAAAUAAUUUUUGUUUUCAUAUACAUUCCUUACAUGUAAAUUUAUUAAUAACUAUACUAUUUACAUCAGCCCCCCCCCCCCAAUGAAAAAAUCGCA
Molecule: long non-coding RNA, 485 nt
Organism: Strongylocentrotus purpuratus (purple sea urchin)
Lineage: Eukaryota; Metazoa; Echinodermata; Echinoidea; Camarodonta; Strongylocentrotidae
Exons: 2
Source: RefSeq, a predicted model, not a curated record